Molecule: unclassified non-coding RNA, 1597 nt
Filed under: Schistocerca americana (American grasshopper)
Lineage: Eukaryota; Metazoa; Arthropoda; Insecta; Orthoptera; Acrididae
Description: rab-like protein 2A, transcript variant X2
Source: RNAcentral
UUAGGAAUGGCUGGUGGCGGAGAUAUUGAAAUUGACUAUGACGGCGAAGACAGUAAAGACACCUUUAGGGUGAAAGUAAUAUGUUUAGGCGACAGUGCCGUGGGAAAAUCAAAGUUGGUUGAGAGAUUUUUGUUGGACAAGUAUAAACCGCAUCAGCUCUCAACAUACGCACUGACGCUGUUUCGUUAUGAAACGAACGUAAACGAAGAGUCUGUUACAGUAGACUUCUGGGACACCGCUGGUCAAGAAAUGUUUCAGUCGUUACAUCCAUCAUACUACCAUCAAGCACAUGCGUGUAUUAUGGUAUUUGAUGCAACAAGAAAAAUAACAUACAAAAAUCUUGGUAAAUGGUAUGAGGAAUUACGCUACUACCGGCCACAAAUACCUGUACUUUGUGCAGCAAAUAAGAUCGACGCCAAUAUGGAAGUUACCCAGCGGUCGUUUGCUUUCUCUCAGAAAAAUAACUUGCCUUUGUACUAUGUGUCUGCUUCAGAUGGGACCAAUGUAGUGAAGCUUUUCCGUGAUGCCAUACAUGGAGCUGUGCAGUACAAGAAGAACCCAACAGACAUCUCUGAUCAAAUACUGGAAGAGCUUGAAAGGCUGUGAAUGUAAUACUGUAAGGAAUCGUUUCUUGUACUGCUGCUGAACUAAAUUUGGACCAUAUUAAAUUUGCAUUAGGAAAACACUGUAUAAUUGAGAAAACAUAUUGUGCUGCUUGCUUCACGGACAGUAUAAUGCAAGAACAAGAAAUAGAAAUUUAUAAAUACUAGAGCAUUAAAUUUUAACCAGAGAAUGGAAUACAGACCAGUAAAACAAUGGUGCAAUCUCUACUCUGGCAUUUCUCUGAUGCCAAACAUUUACAACCACAAUGUCAUUGUCACUAUUACUAUGUGGAAGGUCAUUCUUACAAUUAGGAUCAUUUCCUGUGGAGUCCAAGUAAUUUUAGGCUACUUUUUUAAAGUCAGUGUCUUGGUUUUUCAAAAAAUUUUACAUUGCAAAAUUUGAUGAAUUGUUGUACUUUAGAGUCUGAUGUGUGUCACAUCUGAUGUGUGUCACAUCCUGAGGUGUAAGAAUAACUUUAUUCCAUGCACUCUAUUGACUAAGGCUGAUGGGUGUAAUGAUAGGUCUAAAAGCCGGUGGAACACUUAACUUUGUAAUUGUUCAUGUCAGUUCUAAAUUAUAUCUACAUUAACAGGUUAAUUAUUGUAAUUGCUCAGGUUUUAUAUUCAGAUGUGUAAUUGACUAGUAGAAACAUAUUUUCAUGAAAAUGUUUCACAAAGGACCUGUAGAAAAUUGUUAUACUCACUAUACUUACACGUCUUUCUUUUUCAUAAAUGUGAAGAGUAUGUAAAUAUAUGUAAAAUGAAAUGAAAUUUAUGAUAAUUCUCAGUUAAACUUCAUCUUUGAAACAUUGUGCAGUGUUUUUGUGAAUGAUGGUGUCACUGAAUUAAUGCACUUAUCAGACAUCUGUAUAAAACUGCUGUGACAGUAUUGUAUUCUUUAUGAUGUUACUACACAUAAAAAUCCGUCCAAUUUGUUAGAACAUAAAGAUUUUUUGGUUGUGAAUAAAACAACUUAUUGUUGUCAAAACUUUGAA